This 439-nucleotide ribosomal RNA is filed under the name uncultured bacterium. Its description in RNAcentral is "partial 16S ribosomal RNA". It matches the Rfam family "Bacterial small subunit ribosomal RNA", at positions 339 to 795 of the family's 1533-position model. The record is from RNAcentral.
CUACGGGCGGCUGCAGUGGGGAAUCUUAGACAAUGGGGGCAACCCUGAUCUAGCCAUGCCGCGUGAGUGAUGAAGGCCUUAGGGUCGUAAAGCUCUUUCGCCUGUGAUGAUAAUGACAGUAGCAGGUAAAGAAACCCCGGCUAACUCCGUGCCAGCAGCCGCGGUAAUACGGAGGGGGUUAGCGUUGUUCGGAAUUACUGGGCGUAAAGCGCGCGUAGGCGGAUUAGAAAGUUGGGGGUGAAAUCCCGGGGCUCAACCCCGGAACUGCCUCCAAAACUGCUAGUCUAGAGUUCGAGAGAGGUGAGUGGAAUUCCGAGUGUAGAGGUGAAAUUCGUAGAUAUUCGGAGGAACACCAGCGGCGAAGGCGGCUCACUGGCUCGAUACUGACGCUGAGGUGCGAAAGUGUGGGGAGCAAACAGGAUUAGAUACCCUGGUAGUC